GCAUUAGUGGUUCAGUGGUAGAAUUCUUGCCUGCCACGCGGGAGACCCGGGUCCGAUUCCCGGCCAAUGCA
Molecule: non-coding RNA, 71 nt
Organism: Danio rerio (zebrafish)
Lineage: Eukaryota; Metazoa; Chordata; Actinopteri; Cypriniformes; Danionidae
Source: Rfam